GACGAACGCUGGCGGCGUGCUUAACACAUGCAAGUCGAACGGAAAGGCCCUGCUUUUGUGGGGUGCUCGAGUGGCGAACGGGUGAGUAACACGUGAGUAACCUGCCCUUGACUUUGGGAUAACUUCAGGAAACUGGGGCUAAUACCGGAUAGGAGCUCCUGCUGCAUGGUGGGGGUUGGAAAGUUUCGGCGGUUGGGGAUGGACUCGCGGCUUAUCAGCUUGUUGGUGGGGUAGUGGCUUACCAAGGCUUUGACGGGUAGCCGGCCUGAGAGGGUGACCGGCCACAUUGGGACUGAGAUACGGCCCAGACUCCUACGGGAGGCAGCAGUGGGGAAUAUUGCACAAUGGGCGGAAGCCUGAUGCAGCAACGCCGCGUGCGGGAUGACGGCCUUCGGGUUGUAAACCGCUUUCGCCUGUGACGAAGCGUGAGUGACGGGAAUGGGUAAAGAAACACCGGCGAACUACGU
This 467-nucleotide ribosomal RNA is filed under the name uncultured bacterium. Its description in RNAcentral is "partial 16S ribosomal RNA". It matches the Rfam family "Bacterial small subunit ribosomal RNA", at positions 28 to 506 of the family's 1533-position model. The record is from RNAcentral.